ACAAAAGCCUGAGGAAUCUUGGAGCAAUUUGGCGGUCAACAGAAACGGCUGUUUGAACAGCAUUGCGGAUAAUAGAUUCUGCAAAUGGGCAUGUCUGGGAGUAGAACCCAACUCGCAGUUGCCCUUUUGUCGUAACACCAAAGUAAGCAUGAAUUAUAACAAGGGCAAUAACCAGAGGUUUUAGAUUGUAAUUGUGCAUUUUGAAGACACAGGAGAAUAAGGUAUUGAAGUAAGAG
RNAcentral lists this unclassified non-coding RNA (236 nucleotides) under Hevea brasiliensis (rubber tree). Lineage: Eukaryota; Viridiplantae; Streptophyta; Magnoliopsida; Malpighiales; Euphorbiaceae. The record is from RNAcentral.